AUGCCCUCGUCAAGUUUUCGUCAUUUUUGUCAAGCCUCUAUGUUUGCUUUCGUUUCUUGAUGCAUAUGUUGUUGUGGCUUUGAUCAUUUUUGUCGAAUUUGUUGUGGUUUUGGUCGUUCUUUAAGAGCCAAAGUAUGUUAGCUUUUAUUUAAGUUUUUAUUUUUUUUAUCAGCAAUUUUUUUUUUUUAAUAAUAUGCUAUGAACUUUUUUUAUUUAAGUUUUUAUUGUAUGAUUGUAUGACUGAAUUGAUUGUAUGAUUUU
Molecule: long non-coding RNA, 261 nt
Filed under: Vigna radiata
Lineage: Eukaryota; Viridiplantae; Streptophyta; Magnoliopsida; Fabales; Fabaceae
Description: long non-coding RNA (VRAD_LNC004487)
Source: RNAcentral